Molecule: long non-coding RNA, 626 nt
Organism: Chenopodium quinoa (quinoa)
Lineage: Eukaryota; Viridiplantae; Streptophyta; Magnoliopsida; Caryophyllales; Amaranthaceae
Exons: 3
Source: RefSeq, a predicted model, not a curated record
GGCAUCUGUCCUAACAUUAGAGAGAGGGUUAGGGCUUUGACUAAAGAAUCCAGGUUAUGCCAUGCAUAUCCUUUUGGGAGGGGAGAGUACACUAGUAGAAAAACAUAAAUGAGCACCGCAAAACAAAACCGGUGCGAAAAAAAUAGGCGGGGUUGAGGGAAAGAGUAAUCUCACCUAUUCAAACCAAACUGGUGCGAAAAAGAGUAAAUCGCGGCGGUUCUAACUGAACCGGUGCAACUGUUAAUGUUAAAAUAAAAAGAACUCGGCCUUUUAUCUUCUUUCUUUCUCUUUCCUCAAAUCUCUCCUCUUCUCUCAUCUACCUCUCUCUCAUGUAUAACAAUGGAGGCUCUUUCCUCAAACUCCUUCUCUCUCCUUCGAUCUCCUUGGCCUUCUCCAUAACCGCCACUUUCCCUUUUCUUUUCUCUUUUCUUCGAUCUCCUUCUCCCUAACUACGGCGCAAGCAACGCCGCUCUCGUUCUCCUUCUCAGUCUGAAAUCGGCGUCAUUAGAACCAAGCACAACCACCAUCGCCGCCGCCGUCAAUUUGAACCAAAUACAACAACAACAACAACAAACUUGAAUCAAUUAUCGAUUCAAAAAUCACAAAUUCGAGAUUUAUUGAUUAUU